AACUUGGCGCCCCGGCCUUCGGGCUGUUAUUUUUGGGCGAGGCUUUGCCCGCGGCCUAUUUUUGGCACACGGAGGCCCCUCACAAAGUCUCGCGCCAUUCCGAGUCCGGCGGACGAAGUUGGCCAGCCCCACCCCCCAAGGCUAUAGCCCACCCGUUUUUGUGGCCUUUUUCCGCUGGACGAAUUUGGCGCCCUGGCCUUCGGGCGGUUAUUUUUGCGUGCGGCUUUGCCCGUGGCCUAUUUUUGUCACACGGAGGCCCCUCACAAAAUCUCGCGGCAUUCCGAGACCGGUGGACAAAGUGGGCAAGCCCCACCCCCAAGACUAUAGGCCACCCGUUUUUGUGGCCUUUUUCCGCUGGACGAACUUGGCGCCCCGGGCUUCGGGCUGUUAUUUUUGGGCACGGCUUUGCCCGCGGCCUAUUUUUGGCACACGGAAGGCCCUCGCAAAGUAUCGCGCCAUUCCGAGUCCGGCGGACGACGUGGGCCAGCCCCACCCCCCAAGGCUAUAGCCCACCCAUUUUGGUGGCCUUUUUCCGCUGGACGAACUUGGCGCCCCGGCCUUCGGGCGGUUAUUUUU
RNAcentral lists this long non-coding RNA (576 nucleotides) under Citrus x clementina. RNAcentral's name for it is "Citrus clementina (C. clementina) long non-coding RNA (CCLE_LNC001702)". Lineage: Eukaryota; Viridiplantae; Streptophyta; Magnoliopsida; Sapindales; Rutaceae. The record is from RNAcentral.